GGGACAGAGCGGUGCUGUGAGGAGCCCCCGCACAGCGCACUCGUUCCUGUCUGACCUGGAGCUUUUCUGAGGCGUUGUUCCUGCAGCUGACCUUGAGGCCAGACUCAGGACCUGGUGACCUGUGGCCUUCCGAGGCUUCUGUUUGGCAGUGCCCUCAAGGGCAGAGCGUGGGACUUGGUGCUCCGGAGCUUUUCCAAGGCAUCUGUCCUGCUACUAGCUCCAGUCACUGACAUGGAGCAGAGACCCCCAAGAGACCCUAGGAUGGCCUGGGUGGAGGAGGAGGAAGAAGGCUCUGGAGCUGACCCAGGAGAGGAGACAGAAGAGGUGGUGCCAUUCCAUCCACCACAGGAGGAUGCAGCCAUGGAGCGCACACAAGAGCAGCAAUCCAGCCGUGGCCACUUCCGCAAAACAGCGCAGCUCAUUUGCAAAUUCAUCAAGAGGAUUCAGCAGGAAGAGACCAUCACCAGGGGCGCUGCGUACAGACCAUACUCGCCCAUCUUCCAAAGCAAGAGCAGUGCUGCCCUGCUGUAUAUGCUUGUAGAGGAAGAUUGUUACCAUCCAAAGCAAAUACGCAGCCUGUGGCCAGCGUUUCAUCCUCCCAGGAACUUCUUGGCCUCCCCAGCCACACCUGCUGGUCCUUGUGAGCCUUUGAGGCCAUCACAGUGUGGUGGGAUGGGAAGAACAUCUCUGGGGAAGCUGGGGACAUUGCUCCCUCUGGCAGCUUUCCAAGUUUCCCUGUGCCUUCUCCAGGUGCCCGCCA
Long non-coding RNA from Passer domesticus (house sparrow), 760 nucleotides. RefSeq lists it as uncharacterized. Lineage: Eukaryota; Metazoa; Chordata; Aves; Passeriformes; Passeridae. The transcript has 3 exons. The record is from RefSeq and is a predicted model, not a curated record.